This 333-nucleotide long non-coding RNA is filed under the name Lathyrus oleraceus (garden pea). RNAcentral's name for it is "Pisum sativum (pea) long non-coding RNA (PSAT_LNC038087)". Lineage: Eukaryota; Viridiplantae; Streptophyta; Magnoliopsida; Fabales; Fabaceae. The record is from RNAcentral.
AAACAAGGGGCUUUUGGUUCAGAGUCGAUGUUACAUCCUGUGUUUGUUUCUUUUAUUUCCUCGGUUUUCUUUUCUUAUUUCUUUUUCACCGACUGCCCUUUUCUGUGCUUCUUUCUUUUGAAUCUUUGAGUUGUCGAAUUUUUAUUUUUCUUUCUUUUUCUCGAUUCAUCAUUUUUUCUUUUUCUCUUGUUUUUGCACUUUCUUGGGCUUUGAGAGCUCUUGGGGUUUUUUACCCCAAACUUAGCUUUUCAACACAACUUUGAAUGCAUUAUCAUGACUCUGAACGGGGUGAGGAAGUGUUGUGGCCAAUGGUUACAUUUAUGGUGUUUAAAC